GAUGCCGGGAGCAGAGCGGCCUCAGAGCGAGUUAGCGGGCUUGGGCGCGCUGGUGGGGGGAAGGGAUUGCGAGAGGCUGCCCCCCGGGGCCCCGAGACUCCAGGAAAACAGAGUAAGGGAUGAACAUGCCAGUCCAGUCUGGUGGACAUAAUACCUCAGAAGGGGUGGACUGUGUUUUCACCAGAGGACUAAAUUAAUAUGCUGGCAAAGGGGAUGGAGCAGGAGCUGACGCAGUGGCUACACCUGAUGAUAGAAAGGUAGGCCACCAUUAUAACAACAAAAUAUGGGUAGGUCUGGAGAACAGCCCACCUAAGAUGUGAUCUCACUCUUAGGAGUGUUGUUCACAUGGGUAAUGAAGUCUUCCAAAGAAAUAAACAAGUUUCACAGAAUAAGUUGAACAGCAACUCUUUUAGUAGUAUAGGAAGCCAAGGACAGAUAUGUCACUUCCUGGAUGAUGCACAAUGUGAAUGUUGUACCCUGACAAUUAGAGAAUGAUUCUCUAGUCUCAGUGAUGCUACAAGGAAUGGUUUCUUUAGAACUGACUCCAGACUCACUCAUAAAAGCACACACAGAUGACAGCCAUGUUAUUUUUUUGUUU
Molecule: long non-coding RNA, 598 nt
Organism: Gopherus evgoodei (Goodes thornscrub tortoise)
Lineage: Eukaryota; Metazoa; Chordata; Testudines; Testudinidae
Exons: 2
Source: RefSeq, a predicted model, not a curated record